RNAcentral lists this long non-coding RNA (504 nucleotides) under Nicotiana tabacum (common tobacco). RNAcentral's name for it is "long non-coding RNA (NTAB_LNC002985)". Lineage: Eukaryota; Viridiplantae; Streptophyta; Magnoliopsida; Solanales; Solanaceae. The record is from RNAcentral.
AUGUUCAGUUUAGGGUUUAAAACCCUAAUGCUGACUAAAGGAAAAGUUUUGUUUAGGGUUUAAAACCCUAAUGCUGACUGAAUGGAAAGAGUUCAGUUUAGGGUUUAAAACCUUAAUGCUGAUUAAAGGAAAAGUUCAGUUUAAGGUUUAAAACCCUAAUGCUGACUGAAUGGAAAAAGUUCAGUUUAGGGUUUAAAACCCUAAUGCUGACUGAAUGGAAAAGUUCAGUUUAGGGUUUAAAACCCUAAUGCUGAUUAAAGGAAAAGUUCAGUUUAGGGUUUUAAAACCCUAAUGCUGAUUAAAGGAAAAGUUCAGUUUAGGGUUGAAAACCCUAAUGCUGACUGACUGGGGACAAAGUUCGAGGAUACUAACUGACCUUUUUUUUUUGAAUUUUCUUGUUUUAGUAGAAGAUAAAAGGGAGUCUCGUGGAAACUUACCUUUCGAGUGAAUUCCUUAUUGCCAAACUAUUUCUUGUACCCAUGUACCUUCUUCUUUGGGUGACAC